Molecule: non-coding RNA, 182 nt
Filed under: human gut metagenome
Description: Lysine riboswitch
Rfam family: Lysine riboswitch aptamer
About the family: Riboswitches are metabolite binding domains within certain messenger RNAs that serve as precision sensors for their corresponding targets. Allosteric rearrangement of mRNA structure is mediated by ligand binding, and this results in modulation of gene expression.
Source: RNAcentral
UGAGAUAGAGGACGCGUUGCACCAUCAGUACCCGCUCCCCAUGUCAUGCAGGACAGGGGCGGCGAAAGGGGUGCGCGCCGAAGGGAAUUCCCUCUGCAUUGGGAGUUUCACUGGGCGGACGAAAUAAGAUUUGUUCGACUGUCGCAAAAGAUCGCUUGUUGAGAUUUUGCGGAGAGCUAUCC